RNAcentral lists this ribosomal RNA (137 nucleotides) under uncultured bacterium. RNAcentral's name for it is "partial 16S ribosomal RNA". It matches the Rfam family "Bacterial small subunit ribosomal RNA", at positions 644 to 780 of the family's 1533-position model. The record is from RNAcentral.
GAGUGCAGAAGAGGAGAGCGGAAUUCCACGUGUAGCGGUGAAAUGCGUAGAGAUGUGGAGGAACACCAGUGGCGAAGGCGGCUCUCUGGUCUGUAACUGACGCUGAGGCGCGAAAGCGUGGGGAGCAAACAGGAUUA